Molecule: long non-coding RNA, 726 nt
Filed under: Anas platyrhynchos platyrhynchos (common mallard)
Lineage: Eukaryota; Metazoa; Chordata; Aves; Anseriformes; Anatidae
Description: lncRNA (ENSAPLG00000027185.1)
Source: RNAcentral
CAAGAAGAGGAGGAGGAAUCUAGACAACUGUGCUUGCCCCUUUCACUGGCAUUUUUGGGAAAAGCAGCUGUCUGCCCCACGUGUAAGACAGGACUGGUCCUUUUUACGUUGAAAGCUUGUGGAAGCUUUUGGAAAACAAGGUUGUGGAAUAUGCCCGCAGCCAUGUGCCUUCCAGCUGAGUCACUUUAGGAAGGAGCAGGGAUGCCUUGCAAGACAUUCCUCCAGUGCAGGAGAGAGGAGCAGGUGAUAGAUAGACCCAGUUACAGGCUGAAAAGUUAAGCCUUGUGCAUGGACAGCUGUAUAGUGGAAACAUGGGUCAAAUAGGAGUUGAAGAGGUUAAUAAGGAGUAAGGGAUGAAAGGCAAGGUCAGCAAGCCGCCUGUCUGCAAGGGCUCCCAGCAGAGCAGGAGAUGGCUGACGUGAAAGCCACCGCUCCGAGCUGCAUGGGGGUACAGAGGACACCUGAAAGCGUUCCAACAGGAAAAAAGAAAGCUGGAAGGACCCAGAGGUUUAAGCAGGUCUGGUACCGGGAAACCUGAUAAUCCUGCAUGUAACAUAUACGCUGGGGAAGAAGCAGACCCUGUAAAUCCCCCUUGCCAGCUCUGCUCUAGAGAUGUAACAGGCUCAUUUCUGCUGGGGAGGUUAGCCUCUGCAACACGAGGUAGGAGGGCACUCAAAUCCAGCCAGGAAAGGGAAUCACAGUAAUGACACUUAUUGAUAUUGAUUC